RNAcentral lists this long non-coding RNA (4391 nucleotides) under Sus scrofa (pig). RNAcentral's name for it is "lncRNA (ENSSSCG00000058711.1)". The record is from RNAcentral. Lineage: Eukaryota; Metazoa; Chordata; Mammalia; Artiodactyla; Suidae.
AGGUUGUGAGUAGAAUUCCUUUCCUUGUAGCUGUAUGAGUGAGGGCCCCAGCCUCUGUCAACUAGAGGUGGCCCCGAGGUCCUAGAGGCCACCCACAGUUCCCUGUCACGUGGCCUUCGCCAUAGGCAAGUCACAGCCUGGUGCUUGCUCCUGUAAGGCCAUCGGGAGCCUCUCUUGCUCCACUUGGCUAAGCCAGAAUCAUCUAUUAGACAUCUGUCAUCCAUCCAUCAUCUUUGCAUUUUCAGUGGAUUGGAAGCACGUCACAGAUUCUGCCCACGCUCAAGGGGACAGAGUUAUGCAAGGACACGACUCAUUGGAGGUCACUGUAGGGUGGUGUGUCAACCGCCACUGCCCAUCGUCCUGCCUGGGUUUGUAUCUUCCCUCCUCCACUAACACGUUAGGUGGUCUUAAGUGAGUUGCUUAGCCUUCAGCCCCAGACCCCUUAUUUGUAAAAUGGGGGCAAAACCCAUAGGAUGCUUGGGAAGAUCAAAUAAAAUAUUCCAUCUCAAGUAUUUCGCAGAGUGCCUGGCACAUCAUAAACACUUAGAUGUGAAGCUACGAUGAUGGUAGUGGUGAUUAAUAUUAAUAUUAUUGGCACUGUGAGACUCCCAGAUCUGUCUUGGGUCUUAAGAAGCAGAAAUGCAACUCAGGCUGUGGCUACCUGCCUCCUGGUUACAAAACCCUCUGUGAAGGCCAGAGCCACAUCAUGGGCUGCUCCAGAAAUUUCAAGAGAGAUCAGUUUCAAGCUUGGCUGGGAGCUGGGGCGUCAUGGGAUCCCAGCAACAGUGGCAGCCUCCCAGCCACUGGAACUCUGUAAAGUGAUGAGCAUGCUCAGAAGAUGCAAGAGCUUUGGCAAGAGGGUCUCCUCAUCUGCUGUGAGCCCCCCCCCCCGGGCAACUGAGAUCAAGGGGUGGGUGGCUCCUCUGCUCCCCGUGCCACAGGCCAUGUUGAACAUCUCUCUUGGUUGGUGUGACUGGCACCUCACCCACAGAGAGCUCUCCUGUAUCCUAGCCAUCCUGUAUCUCUAACUCUAUUACCUGCUCACACGGAAGAACAAGAGCCGUGGUUUCGUAUCACCAAGAAUCUCAUACUUCCAUGAGAAGAAUUUUUUUUUUAGCCACACUUGCAGCGUGCGUUACAGCGAGGGAUCCAAUCUGUGCCACAGCAGAGACCCGACCCAAAGCAGGGACAAAGCAGGGACAAUGCCAGAUCCUUAACCCAAUGGGGAACUUCCAAGAAUCCUUUUUUUUUUUUUUGGCUUUUCAGGGCCAUAGCCUGUGGCAAUGCAGGACUCUUAACUCACUGAGUGAGGCCAGGGAUUGAACCUGCAUCCUCAUGGAUACUAGUUGGGUUUGUAACCUGCCGAGCCACAUCGGGAACGCCUUAAGGAUUUUUAAAUAUCAAGUAAAAUACACACUCAGCUCCAGCAUCACUGCAACAACCACCAAACACAUAAUCAUCAAACACACAAGCUAAAGAGAAGAGCAGCUACAGUAACUCACACCAAAAAUAACAACAACCCACAGUGAAUGUCUCAAGGUUAACCAUACCGUGAUCUGGACAUUGGCUCCUGGAGGGAUAUACUCUCCUGGCCUGGUUCCUUCCUGAGUGAUGCCUCAUGGGAACUCAGUUGUUCUGGUGAUGCAGUUGUGUGGUCCCUCAUUUGCACAGUGUUCUGAAGGAUGUCGGAGACCUAACCCAACAUUAGCCUCUCCACCCUGAGGAGUUCCUGUGCGAGGAACACAUCCUGGGCACUCUGUACCUCUGAAUUCUGAACGGGACACUUUGGAAAAUGUGGAGUUAUUUAUUUCUAAGGGAGGUAAAAAUAUUUUAAAAAUUAUUUUCAUUUUUCGAACAGCUGCACCACUACUGGAACUUGAAGGGGUGGCUAUUUUGAGAUUCAUAAGCUUGGGGGGAAAAAAUCUUUAUUUCAAAGAAGGAAAUCAUCUUUCAAUAUGAUCAGGAGAAUUGGAUGGGAGAUAGGCAUCAGUUCUUCUAGAAUCCGUAGGCAGUUCUAUUGUGCGAAGGGUCAAGGGUCUUUCGUCUACUUAGCUUUCCAUUUGGGGAAAUUUCCUCCAGAGGAUUUUCUUUAGAUCCUUAAAGCUCUGUGUUUGUGAGGCGUGGCAUCAUAUGGCAAAUAAGCCAGGAUAUGCAGAUGAGGGUUGAAGCCUGGGUUUCUGACUGGAGAACUCAUUUCUCCUUUUUUUUUUUUUUUUUGUCUUUUGUCUUUUUAGGGCCCACCUGAGGCAUAUGGAGGUUCCCAGGCUAGGGGUCUAAUUGGAGCUGUGGCUGCCGGCCUGCACCACAGCCACAGCAAUGCCAGAUCCUAGCCGUGUCUGCAAACUACACCACAGCUCACUGCAACACCAGAUCCUUAACCCACUGAGCGAGGCCAGGGAUCGAACCCGCAACCUCAUGGUUCCUAGUGGGAUUCGUUUCCGCUGCGCCAUGACGACUCCCCUUUCUCCUUCUUUCAUUCUUUUGUUUAACAAAUGCUAUGGGCACAUCCCCUGCUGCCCUUUGGGGAGAAAACCGCAAAGCCAGGUGGAGGUAAAGCUGGCUUCUGUUCUUUCUGUUCACUCUCAGAGGACCUAGAGUCGUGAUCCCCAGGAUGGUGUGACAAGAGGUAAACCUGGCGUGCCGCAGAGCCCUGCGCAAGCACAGAGAAGGAGGGACACCCGGCCCAGCUUGGAAGAAGGACAAAGUAAGGCUUUCUGCAGAAAAUAAAGUCGGAAGGUCAGAGGCAUGGGGUGGGUGGGGGGGAGGGUGGAGUCUGAGGCAGUGUUUCCUGGUGGAAGGAACUAAGUGCAAAGUCUCUUAAGCAAGACAGGUGGGAACUAGAGAAGUUCUGGGGAGCUGGAGAGCAGAGGAGGGAGUGGCGAGGGAAUCCUCUGGAGGGGUCCCUGGGGGCCACCUCACAGCCCUUUCUUGGAAAGCCGCCCCCAUCCGCUGCCUCUGAAUAGCCAUCAGAAAACUAAGGCCAACUGGAGUUCCCGUCGUGGCGCAGCAGAAACAAAUCUGACUAGGAACCAUGGGGUUGUGGGUUCGAUCCUUGGCCUCAAUCAGUGGGUUAUGGAUCUGGCAUUGCCGUGAGUUGUGGUGUAGGUCGCAGAUGCAGCUCAGAUCUGAUGUUGCUGUGGCUGUGGGGUAGGCCAGCAGCUAUAGCUCCAAUUAGACCCCUAGCCUAGGGAUCUCCAUAUGCCAUGGGUGAGGCCCUAAAAAGACAAAAGACAAAAACAAACAAACAAACAAACAAAAAACAAAACUAAGGCAAACUGGCAACCAGAAAGAGCCUGGAUUGAGAGUUAAAUUUUUAUUUAUAUUUAUUUAUUUACUUUUCAUGGCUGCACCCAGAGUGCAUGGAAUUUCCUGGGGCAGGGUUUGAACCCGAGUUGCAGCUAUGACCCCAUGCCCCAGCUCUGGUAAUGCCGGAUCCCCAACCCAGUGCACCACGCCAGGGAUCGAACCCUCACCACCAGGGACAAUACUGGAUCCUUAACCUACUACACCUCCAAGGGUCAAGGUUUUAAAGUUCAGUUUUGAAAGAGAAAGUUCCUUUAUUUUUACAUCAUCAAGCUUUAAUUUUUUUUUAACUUUUCGUCUGCGCCCAAGGCAUGGGGAAGUUUCUGGGCCAGGUGAUGGAAGCCAUGCCACAGCACUGACAACUCUGGAUCCUUAACCCACUAGGUCACCAGGGAACUCCCUGGCUUUAAAUGAAAACUACAUGAAUGAAAAAGAGAAAGUGCUCCAUCCUCUGCUAAUCCUAUUCUCCAGCAGAAAUCCCAGAUAGCAAUUGAUUGUCUUUUCCAAACUUUUUUCUUUUUUCUUUUUUUUUUUUUGUCUUUUGUUUUUUUUAAGGCUGCACCAGAAGCAUAUGGAGGUUCCCAGGCUAGGGGUCGAAUCGGAGCUGUUGCUGCUGGCCUACACCACAGCAACACCAUAUCUGAGCCGUGUCUUUGACCUACACCACAGCUCACGGCAACACCAGAUCCUUAACCCAUUGAGCAAGGCCAGGGAUCAAACCCGCAACCUCAUGGUUCCUAGUCAGAUUCGCUUCUGUUGCGCCACGACAGAAACUCCCUAACAGACUUUUUUCUAUGCACAUACUGACAUAUAUCUGUAUAUCAUUGUUGCUGUUAUUGAUUAUCAUAUAAACAUUAUUGGAGCUCUCUUAGUGGCUCAGUGGGUUAAGAACCCAACAUAGUGUCCGUGAGGAUGUGAAUUCAAACCCUGGCCUUGUUCAGUGGAUUAAGGACCCAGGAUUGCUGUGAGCUUUGUGCAGGUCACAGAUGCAGCUUGGAUCUGGCGUUGCUGUGGCUGUGGUGUAGGCCAGCAGCUGCAGCUCCAAUUCGACCCCUAGUCUGGGAACUUCCAUAUACCACAGACGCGGC